AUCCCAUUUUUUAUUCCCCUGUUAUAAUAAACUGUAAUACAAGAGAUUACUUCUGUCAGUUGCAAUUGUGAGAUAGCUACGUUAGCAAUAAUGGUGUCUUUACGUUUUCACUUGAUAUUGCUGUUUGUUGUAUUAUUCGCAGUAUGGCAAAUUGUUGAUUCUUUACAAUGCUACAAGUGUGAAUCUGAAUGUGCAGGAAAGAAUGAAACGACCAACUGUACCGAGGAUCAAACCCUAUGCAUGGUUAUAAAAAACGAUAGCGGGGCUAUUCAAAAACAGUCGUGUGCUAAAAAUGACGAGUGUGGCAAUACAACAGGGUGUACUACCUGCGACAAGGAUUUGUGCAACUUCUCGCCAUCCUUUGGGCCAUCUCUUUACAUAAUUGGAAUUGCAACCAUGUUAGUGGUCAGCAUGUUUACAAAUUAGUUUUUAGACUAUAACAAUUUACACGUUGUAUUAUUAUCUAUAAUGUAGAUGCUGUGUUCGUAAUUAAUUAAAUAUUUUUCCGUUCAACA
This is a long non-coding RNA of Photinus pyralis (common eastern firefly), 515 nucleotides long. RefSeq lists it as uncharacterized. Lineage: Eukaryota; Metazoa; Arthropoda; Insecta; Coleoptera; Lampyridae. The transcript has 3 exons. The record is from RefSeq and is a predicted model, not a curated record.